Molecule: ribosomal RNA, 303 nt
Filed under: uncultured bacterium
Lineage: Bacteria
Description: partial 16S ribosomal RNA
Rfam family: Bacterial small subunit ribosomal RNA
Source: RNAcentral
AGCAGUAGCCGCGGUAAUACGUAGGUGGCAAGCGUUGUCCGGAAUUAUUGGGCGUAAAGCGCGCGCAGGCGGAUAGGUCAGUCUGUCUUAAAAGUUCGGGGCUUAACCCCGUGAUGGGAAGGAAACUGCUGAUCUAGAGUAUCGGAGAGGAAAGUGGAAUUCCUAGUGUAGCGGUGAAAUGCGUAGAUAUUAGGAAGAACACCAGUGGCGAAGGCGACUUUCUGGACGAAAACUGACGCUGAGGCGCGAAAGCCAGGGGAGCGAACGGGAUUAGAUACCCCCGUAGUCCCUGUCUCUUAUACA